Molecule: long non-coding RNA, 828 nt
Filed under: Rattus norvegicus (Norway rat)
Lineage: Eukaryota; Metazoa; Chordata; Mammalia; Rodentia; Muridae
Description: long non-coding RNA NONRATT013449
Source: RNAcentral
UAAUAUCCAAAAUUUAUAAAGAACUCAAGAAAUUAAAUACCGACAACCCAAAUAAUCCAAUUUAAAAAUGGGGCAGAGAGCUAAAAAGAAUUCUCAACAAGGAAUCUCGAAUAGCUGAGACGAAUUUAAAGACAUGUUCAAAGCCCUGAGUCAUCAGGGAAAUGCAAAUCAAAACAACUCUGAGAUUCUAUCUUACACCCAUCAGAAUGGCUAAUACCAAACAUUCAAGUGAUAGCACAUGCUGGGGAGGAUGUGGAGCGAGGGGAGCACUUCUUCAUUGCUGCUGGGAGUGCAAACUUCUACAACCACUUUGGAAAUCAAUUUGGCAGUUUCUCAGAAAACUGGGAUUAAGAGUUCUACCUCAACACCCAGCUAUGCCACUCCUGGGCAUAUAUCCAAAAGAUGUUCCACAUCCUACAAAGACACUUGCUCAACUAAGUUCACAGCAGCGUUACUUGUAAUAGCCAGAAACUGGAAACAACCUAAAUGUCCCUCAUCUGAAGAAGGGAUAAAGAAAAUGUAUUCCAUCUACAUAAUGGACUACUAUUCAGCUAUGAAAAACAAAGAUACCAUGAAUUUUGCAAGCAAAUAGAUGGAUCUUGAGAAUAUCAAACUAUGUGAAGUAACAAAGUCCCAAAAGGACAUAUACAGUAUACAUUCACUUAUAAGUGGAUAUUAGCCAUAAAAUACAGUAUACCCAUGCUACAGACCCAAGGAGGCAGGAUAGGAAGGAGGGCACAAGCAAGGAUGAUUGAGCCACACUUGGAAGGAGGAAUGGAAUGGUUGUGGAAGGCAGAUGGAGGGAACUGGGUGGGAGAGGGGAUCAGG